Long non-coding RNA from Chionomys nivalis (European snow vole), 375 nucleotides. RefSeq lists it as uncharacterized. The record is from RefSeq and is a predicted model, not a curated record. The transcript has 3 exons. Lineage: Eukaryota; Metazoa; Chordata; Mammalia; Rodentia; Cricetidae.
GUGAAUGUACCCAUGAGAGGAUUUCCAGAAUGUUUUGACUGGAGAAAGAAGACACACCCUGAAUGUGAGUGGUACCAUCCAGUGGACUAAGAUCUUGUGCUGAUUAAAAAGGGCUUAUGAGGAUCAAAGGAGGUGAUCAAAGGAUUUGAGGUCCUAAAGCAAUAGCGCCAGCAUCCUUCUGAGAAGAACAAAGACCACCAGAGAAAUCCUUCCAUUUCUACUCAGAAGAGAGGACAUGGGAAGAGAAAAUGGCACAGCGACCAGUGAAGAGAGGCCCCACCAACACCCAACCCAGGCCCCUUGAUGUUCAGCUAUCACCCUCCAGAACUAGCAGGAUCUCUUGCUGACACCAGAACUCACUACUCUGGGAGAAUC